GUAGUCGCCCGGGACGCCGCAAGGCCUCCCGGGUAACCUACCACCCUUUGUUUAUUACACUUUGUUGCUUUGGCAGGCCUGCCCUCGGGCUGCUGGCUCCGGCCGGCGAGCGCCUGCCAGAGGACCUAAACUCUGUUUGUCUAUACUGUCUGAGUACUAUAUAAUAGUUAAAACUUUCAACAACGGAUCUCUUGGUUCU
RNAcentral lists this unclassified non-coding RNA (199 nucleotides) under rhizosphere metagenome. Its description in RNAcentral is "partial ribosomal RNA internal transcribed spacer region". The record is from RNAcentral.